UUGGGUGAUGGCAGGUGUGACUCCCCUGGGCACUCUGCUAAGUACCUCACAUACAGCUUUAUGGAUGCAGCAUCACAGAAGAUCAUCAACUCUGUGCAAAUUCAGGUCGGGGAGUCAGAAGAUAUUAGAUCCAGCAGCCACAUGGAAAAGGCCGGGUUCAUAAGGUGCCUGGACGAAGUGAAGUGCAAGGGCAUUACAGUUGCAUCUAUCACUACUGAUCGCCAUCCUUCUGUCCGAAAGCACAUGCGUGAGAAUGAGCCAACCAUUGUCCAUGGAUUUGACAUCUGGCAUGUUGUAAAAGGGAUGAAGAAAAAGCUUGAAGCUGCAGCCAAUUCCCGUGCAUGUGCUGCCCUAAAACCAUGGGUGCAGCAUAUUUGUAACCACCUUUACUGGUGUAGUGGCAACUCUGAGGGGAAUACAGAGUUUCUGCUUAGCAUGUG
This is a long non-coding RNA of Ornithodoros turicata, 440 nucleotides long. RefSeq lists it as uncharacterized. NCBI's taxonomy places the organism in Eukaryota, Metazoa, Arthropoda, Arachnida, Ixodida, Argasidae. The transcript has 3 exons. The record is from RefSeq and is a predicted model, not a curated record.